This 433-nucleotide ribosomal RNA is filed under the name uncultured bacterium. Its description in RNAcentral is "partial 16S ribosomal RNA". It matches the Rfam family "Bacterial small subunit ribosomal RNA", at positions 31 to 507 of the family's 1533-position model. The record is from RNAcentral.
AAAGAAAGAGGGAGGAAGGAAGAAAAAAGGAAAGUCGAAAGAGACCUGCGGGUCUAGGGGAGAACGGGUGCGUAACGCGUGGGAACCGGCCCUUAGGUUCGGAAGAACUCCCCGAAAGGGGUGCUAAGAAGGGAUAAUGUCUUCGGACGAAAGAUUUAUCGCCUGUGGAUGGGCCCGCGUUGGAUUAGCUAGUUGGGAGGGUAAAAGCCUACCAAGGCGACGAUCCAUAGCUGGUCUGAGAGGAUGAUCAGCCACACGGGGCCUGAGACACGGCCCAGACUCCUACGGGAGGACGCAGUGGGGAAUAUUGGAAAAUGGGCGAAAGCCUGCACCAGCAAUGCCUCGUGCCUUCUUCCUGCCUUAGGGUUGUAAAGCUCUUUUUCCCCUCAUUCUAAUGACAGUCCCCGUAGCCUAAUCUCCUUCUCCCUCCGUG